Molecule: ribosomal RNA, 252 nt
Filed under: uncultured bacterium
Lineage: Bacteria
Description: partial 16S ribosomal RNA
Rfam family: Bacterial small subunit ribosomal RNA
Source: RNAcentral
UACGGAGGAUGCGAGCGUUAUCCGGAUUUAUUGGGUUUAAAGGGUGCGUAGGCGGGAUGCCAAGUUAGCGGUCAAAUACGGGGGCUCAACCUGCGUCCGCCGUUGAAACUGGCGUUCUUGAGUGGGCGAGAAGUACGCGGAAUGCGUGGUGUAGCGGUGAAAUGCAUAGAUAUCACGCAGAACCCCGAUUGCGAAGGCAGCGUACCGGCGCCCGACUGACGCUGAAGCACGAAAGCGUGGGUAUCGAACAGG